This 493-nucleotide ribosomal RNA is filed under the name uncultured bacterium. Its description in RNAcentral is "partial 16S ribosomal RNA". It matches the Rfam family "Bacterial small subunit ribosomal RNA", at positions 30 to 523 of the family's 1533-position model. The record is from RNAcentral.
AUUGAACGCUGGCGGCAUGCCUUACACAUGCAAGUCGAACGGUAACAGGUUAAGCUGACGAGUGGCGAACGGGUGAGUAAUAUAUCGGAACGUGCCCAGUCGUGGGGGAUAACGCAGCGAAAGCUGUGCUAAUACCGCAUACGAUCUACGGAUGAAAGCGGGGGAUCGCAAGACCUCGCGCGAUUGGAGCGGCCGAUAUCAGAUUAGCUAGUUGGUGGGGUAAAAGCCCACCAAGGCGACGAUCUGUAGCUGGUCUGAGAAGACGACCAGCCACACUGGAACUGAGACACGGUCCAGACUCCUACGGGAGGCAGCAGUGGGGAAUUUUGGACAAUGGGCGAAAGCCUGAUCCAGCAAUGCCGCGUGCAGGACGAAGGCCUUCGGGUUGUAAACUGCUUUUGUACGGAACGAAACGGUCUCUUCUAAUAAAGGGGGCUAAUGACGGUACCGUAAGAAUAAGCACCGGCUAACUACGUGCCAGCCGCCGCAGUAA